RNAcentral lists this ribosomal RNA (468 nucleotides) under uncultured bacterium. RNAcentral describes it as "partial 16S ribosomal RNA". It matches the Rfam family "Bacterial small subunit ribosomal RNA", at positions 28 to 507 of the family's 1533-position model. The record is from RNAcentral.
GACGAACGCUGGCGGCGUGCUUAACACAUGCAAGUCGAACGGAAAGGCCCUGCUUUUGUGGGGUGCUCGAGUGGCGAACGGGUGAGUAACACGUGAGUAACCUGCCCUUUACUUUGGGAUAACUUCAGGAAACUGGGGCUAAUACCGGAUAGGAGCUCCUGCUGCAUGGUGGGGGUUGGAAAGUUUCGGCGGUUGGGGAUGGAUUCGCGGCUUAUCAGCUUGUUGGGGGGGUAGUGGCUUACCAAGGCUUUGACGGGUAGCCGGCCUGGGAGGGUGACCGGCGACAUUGGGACUGAGGUACGGACCAGACUGCAACGGGAGGCAGCGGGGGGGAAUAUUGCACAAUGGGGGGAAGCGUGAUGCAAAAACCCCGGGAUCGGGAAGACGGCCUUCGGGUUGUAAACCGCAUUCGCCUGUGACGAAGCGGGAGUGACGGUAAUGGGUGAAGAAGCACCGGCUAACUACGUG